AGCGAACGUUAGCGGCGGGCUUAACACAUGCAAGUCGAGCGAGAAAAGGGCUUCGGCCCCGAGUAAAGCGGCGGACGGGUGAGUAAUACGUAGGUAAUCUUCCUUCGAGCGGGGGACAACGUUCCGAAAGGGACGCUAAUACCGCAUAAGUUUCUCCGGUGUCUGCACUGGAGAAGGAAAGCUAGGUAGCAAUAUCCGGCACUCGAUGAGGAGCCUGCGUCGCAUCAGCUAGUUGGUGGGGUAACGGCCUACCAAGGCGAAGACGCGUAG
RNAcentral lists this ribosomal RNA (270 nucleotides) under uncultured bacterium. Its description in RNAcentral is "partial 16S ribosomal RNA". It matches the Rfam family "Bacterial small subunit ribosomal RNA", at positions 29 to 286 of the family's 1533-position model. The record is from RNAcentral.